CCUGGCGGCGAUAGCGCGGUGGUCCCACCUGACCCCAUGCCGAACUCAGAAGUGAAACGCCGUAGCGCCGAUGGUAGUGUGGGGCUUCCCCAUGUGAGAGUAGGGAACUGCCAGGU
This 116-nucleotide ribosomal RNA is filed under the name Pectobacterium carotovorum. RNAcentral also lists the same sequence under 34 other names. The record is from RNAcentral. Lineage: Bacteria; Pseudomonadati; Pseudomonadota; Gammaproteobacteria; Enterobacterales; Pectobacteriaceae.